Molecule: ribosomal RNA, 800 nt
Filed under: uncultured bacterium
Lineage: Bacteria
Description: bacterial SSU rRNA
Rfam family: Bacterial small subunit ribosomal RNA
Source: RNAcentral
AGAGUUUGAUCCUGGCUCAGAAUAAACGUUGGCGGCGUGCUUAACACAUGCAAGUCGCGCGAGAAAGCUCCUUCGGGAGCAAGUAAAGCGGCGGACGGGUGCGUAACACGUGAGAAUUUGCCCUUUAGUGAAGAAUACCCACGAGAAAUUGUGGUUAAUACUGCAUGAGUUCCUUCGGGAAGAAAGGUGGCUUUAUGCUACCGCUAAAGGAUGAGCUUGCGGGCUAUUAGCUAGUUGGUGGGGUAAAGGCCUACCAAGGCGAUGAUGGCUAGCCGGCCUGAGAGGGUGUACGGCCACAUUGGGACUGAGAUACGGCCCAGACUCCUACGGGAGGCAGCAGUGAGGAAUAUUGCGCAAUGGGCGAAAGCCUGACGCAGCGACACCGCGUGGAGGAUGACGGUCUUAGGAUUGUAAACUCCUGUUAAGUGGGAAGAAAACUCAAUCUCUAAUAUAGAUUGAGUAUGACGGUACCACUAGAGAAAGCACCGGCUAACUUCGUGCCAGCAGCCGCGGUAAUACGAGGGGUGCAAACGUUAUUCGGAUUUACUGGGCGUAAAGGGUGUGUAGACGGCAUGCUAAGUUCGUUGUUAAAUCUUCCGGCCUAACUGGAAGCUUGCGAUGGAAACUGGCACGCUAGAGGAUGGAAGAGAGAAGCGGAAUUCUCGGAGUAGCGGUAAAAUGCGUAGAUCUCGAGAGGAACACCGAUGGCGAAGGCAGCUUCUUGGUCCAAUCCUGACGUUGAGACACGAAAGCGUGGGUAGCAAACAGGAUUAGAUACCCUGGUAGUCCACGCUGUAAAC